This 370-nucleotide ribosomal RNA is filed under the name uncultured eukaryote. RNAcentral's name for it is "bacterial SSU rRNA". It matches the Rfam family "Eukaryotic small subunit ribosomal RNA", at positions 592 to 1017 of the family's 1831-position model. The record is from RNAcentral.
CAAUAGCGUAUAUUAAAGUUGUUGCAGUUAAAAAGCUCGUAGUUGGAUUUCUAGAUAAGUGGGUACUUGUACUUUGCUUGUCUACCAGUCAUAGACUGUUACUGUGAGAAAAUUAGAGUGUUUCAAGCAGGCUGUUGCAGGAAUACAUUAGCAUGGAAUAACGAAUGUGUCUGGAAUAUUGGUUAAUUCUAGAUUACGAUUAAUAGGGACAGUUGGGGGAGUUAGUAUUUAAUUAGUCAGAGGUGGAAAUUACUUUGGAGUUUAUUUAAAGUAACUAACGUAAUGCGAAAGACAUUUCUUCAAGGAAUGUUUUCUAUUAAAUUACAAGAAACGAAAAGAAUUGGGGUAGUCAAAGAAUGAUCAGAUACCA